This 330-nucleotide ribosomal RNA is filed under the name uncultured bacterium. RNAcentral describes it as "bacterial SSU rRNA". It matches the Rfam family "Bacterial small subunit ribosomal RNA", at positions 568 to 898 of the family's 1533-position model. The record is from RNAcentral.
CGUGUAGGCGGUCGAGUAAGUGGGAUGUGAAAUGCCCCGGCUCACCCGGGGACCGGCAUCCCAAACUGCUUGGCUUGAGUAUGGGAGAGGAUGAGGGAAUUCCUGGUGUAGCGGUGAAAUGCGUAGAUAUCAGGAGGAACACCGGUGGCGAAGGCGCUCAUCUGGCCCAAUACUGACGCUGAGGCGCGAAAGCUAGGGGAGCAAACGGGAUUAGAUACCCCGGUAGUCCUAGCCGUAAACGGUGAUCACUAGGUGUUGGAGCAUCGACCCCUCAGUGCCGCAGCUAACGCAUUAAGUGAUCCGCCUGGGGAGUACGGCCGCAAGGUUGAA